UGGGGAAUAUUGGACAAUGGGCGCAAGCCUGAUCCAGCCAUGCCGCGUGAGUGAUGAAGGCCCUAGGGUUGUAAAGCUCUUUCACCGGGGACGAUAAUGACGGUACCCGGAGAAGAAGCCCCGGCUAACUUCGUGCCAGCAGCCGCGGUAAUACGAAGGGGGCUAGCGUUGUUCGGAAUUACUGGGCGUAAAGCGCACGUAGGCGGACAUUUAAGUCAGGGGUGAAAUCCCGGGGCUCAACCCCGGAACGGCCUUUGAUACUGGGUGUCUUGAGUUCGGAAGAGGUGAGUGGAAUUGCGAGUGUAGAGGUGAAAUUCGUAGAUAUUCGCAGGAACACCAGUGGCGAAGGCGGCUCACUGGUCCGAUACUGACGCUGAGGUGCGAAAGCGUGGGGAGCAAACAGG
This 404-nucleotide ribosomal RNA is filed under the name uncultured prokaryote. RNAcentral describes it as "bacterial SSU rRNA". It matches the Rfam family "Bacterial small subunit ribosomal RNA", at positions 355 to 776 of the family's 1533-position model. RNAcentral also lists the same sequence under 1 other name. The record is from RNAcentral.